RNAcentral lists this transfer RNA (76 nucleotides) under Vulcanimicrobiota bacterium. RNAcentral's name for it is "tRNA-Glu". It matches the Rfam family "tRNA". Rfam says of the family: Transfer RNA (tRNA) molecules are approximately 80 nucleotides in length. Their secondary structure includes four short double-helical elements and three loops (D, anti-codon, and T loops). Lineage: Bacteria; Bacillati; Vulcanimicrobiota. The record is from RNAcentral.
GGCCCUAUCGUCUAGAGGCCUAGGACGCCGCCCUCUCAAGGCGGUGACACGGGUUCGAAUCCCGUUAGGGCUACCA